Sphaerodactylus townsendi is the source of this 122-nucleotide long non-coding RNA. RefSeq lists it as uncharacterized. The record is from RefSeq and is a predicted model, not a curated record. Lineage: Eukaryota; Metazoa; Chordata; Lepidosauria; Squamata; Sphaerodactylidae. The transcript has 3 exons.
GACAGACAAAUUGAUGGAGAUAUGGACUGAAUUUACAGAUUGGAUGAUAGAAAUUGGAGUCAAAGAAGAAAGAUGGGAGAAGAGACUACAAAGGAAGAACUUGCUGCUGCUUACUUAAGAAA